GGUUUCUUGUAAUGUAUUUAAGAGAUUUAACCUGCCCACUGAAAUAUUUUUGAAGGGCCGCAGUAUUUUGACUGUGCAAAGGUAGCAUAAUCAUUAGUCUUUUAAUUGAAGGCUGGUAUGAAUGGUUGGAUGAGGUAAAUACUGUUUUAUAUUUAUUUAUUUGAAUUUAGAUUUUAAGUAAAAAGACUUAAAUGUUAUUAAGGGACGAGAAGACCCUAUAGAGUUUAAUAAAUGUAAUUAUUAAUUGAGUUAAUAAAGAAUUUUUGAUUAUUAUAAAGUUUAUUUAAUUGGGGUGAUUAGAAGAUAAAUUAACUCUUCUUUAAAUUUAAUAAUAUAAUUAGUUAGAUGAUCCAUAUUUAAUGAUUAAAAGAUUAAAUUACCUUAGGGAUAACAGCAUAAUUUUUUUUGAGAGUUCAUAUUGAAAAAAAAGAUUGUGACCUCGAUGUUGGAUUAAGAUUAGUUUUAAAUGUAGAUGUUUAUAGACUAGGUCUGUUCGACCUUUUAAAUCUUACA
This 513-nucleotide ribosomal RNA is filed under the name Otomantis rendalli. RNAcentral describes it as "partial 16S ribosomal RNA". It matches the Rfam family "Bacterial large subunit ribosomal RNA", at positions 1889 to 2600 of the family's 2925-position model. Lineage: Eukaryota; Metazoa; Arthropoda; Insecta; Mantodea; Hymenopodidae. The record is from RNAcentral.